RNAcentral lists this ribosomal RNA (385 nucleotides) under uncultured bacterium. Its description in RNAcentral is "bacterial SSU rRNA". It matches the Rfam family "Archaeal small subunit ribosomal RNA", at positions 339 to 727 of the family's 1478-position model. The record is from RNAcentral.
UUGCGAAACCUUUACAAUGCGCGAAAGCGUGAUAGGGGGAUUCUGAGUGCGUGCACACUGUGCACGCUUUUAUCGAGUCAAAAUAGCUCGGUGAAUAAGGGGUGGGCAAGACGGGUGCCAGCCGCCACGGUAAUACCCGCGCCCCGAGUGAUGAUCACGAUUAUUGGGCCUAAAGCAUCCGUAGCUGGCCUGUUAGGUCUCUGGUGAAAUCCUGCAUUAAGUGUAGGAACUACCAGAGAAACCGGCAGGCUAGGGACCGGGAGAAGUAAGGGGUACUCUAGGGGUAGGGGCAAAAUCCUAUAAUCCUUAGGGGACCACCGGUGGCGAAGGCGCCUUACUAGAACGGCUCCGACAGUGAGGGAUGAAAGCGUGGGGAGCGACCCGG